GCUGUGGUGUCGGAGUGGUUAACGAGUCAGACUUGAAAUCUGAUGCCUUCGGGCGCGCAGGUUCGAAUCCUGGUAAGCA
This 79-nucleotide transfer RNA is filed under the name Exutisphaerella laricina CBS 326.52. RNAcentral's name for it is "tRNA-Ser (TGA) (tRNA-Ser-TGA-1-1)". It matches the Rfam family "tRNA". Rfam says of the family: Transfer RNA (tRNA) molecules are approximately 80 nucleotides in length. Their secondary structure includes four short double-helical elements and three loops (D, anti-codon, and T loops). Further hydrogen bonds mediate the characteristic L-shaped molecular structure. tRNAs have two regions of fundamental functional importance: the anti-codon, which is responsible for specific mRNA codon recognition, and the 3' end, to which the tRNAs corresponding amino acid is attached (by aminoacyl-tRNA synthetases). tRNAs cope with the degeneracy of the genetic code in two manners: having more than one tRNA (with a specific anti-codon) for a particular amino acid; and 'wobble' base-pairing, i.e. permitting non-standard base-pairing at the 3rd anti-codon position. The record is from RNAcentral. Lineage: Eukaryota; Fungi; Ascomycota; Dothideomycetes; Mycosphaerellales; Mycosphaerellaceae.